Molecule: transfer RNA, 73 nt
Filed under: Ailuropoda melanoleuca (giant panda)
Lineage: Eukaryota; Metazoa; Chordata; Mammalia; Carnivora; Ursidae
Rfam family: tRNA
About the family: Transfer RNA (tRNA) molecules are approximately 80 nucleotides in length.
Source: Rfam by way of RNAcentral
GCCUGGCUGGCUCAGUCGGUAGAGCACGUGACUCUUGAUGUUGGGGUGGUGAGUUUGAGCCUCACGUUGGGUG